Fukomys damarensis (Damara mole-rat) is the source of this 741-nucleotide long non-coding RNA. RefSeq lists it as uncharacterized. Lineage: Eukaryota; Metazoa; Chordata; Mammalia; Rodentia; Bathyergidae. The record is from RefSeq and is a predicted model, not a curated record. The transcript has 3 exons.
UGAAGCUCAGGCGCAGAUCCUCUCGCCUCAGCCUCCUGAGCGCUGGGAUUACAGAUGUGCACCAUCACGUCUGGCCGACCCCCGUUCUACACGUGUGUAAACUGAGGCAGAGAGAGGAGUGUCCUGUCCUUCUGAAUGAGGGGACGCCGUGAAUAGGACCGGACAUCACUCAGAGCAGGUGACAGCUGAUAUGACACCAACCAGAAAGGAGCAUCUGCGGUGGGCCAGGCCCUACCAGGUGAUGGCCGGGCAGAGGGUCCAGGAAUCAGAGGGCAUCAGAGCAAGACGUCUGUGAUAUCCUCGAGGAACCAAACUGCUGUGCUGAGAGAAAGUUGAGACCUGACGGGCACAGUGAGCGCCAGGAAGCGAUGAUCAGCGAUUCUGCAGUUCCCCUCGACCUCAUUCAGGGUGAAGUGGAAAGAUUCCAGCCCGGGCCACAUCAGGUGGCCAUGCUCCCUUCCUGCUCCCCUCGCCCCAGCCUCUGUGCCCACUUCUGCGGGGGGGGGCCUUGCGGGGGGGGGGCAGCCAUGCUUCCCAGCACAUCCCAGAGUCUGGCCAAACCCCCAAGAGGUCAAGGAAGCCCCGGAAGUGGGUGCAGAAUCUGGGGGGACCACAGCACUUCUCUCAAAGGGUUCCCUAAUUCUGCACCAGUCAAUAAACGCUCUGAAAAACUAAACGGCUAGGGGUGUAGCUCAGUAUGAGGCCAGGGUUCGUGUUUUGUUUUGUUUUGUUUUUUGGUAC